CAAAGGUUUGGUCCUGACUUUUCUACCAGCUCUAGCUAGACUUACACAUGCAAGUAUCCGCAUCCCCGUGAGAAUGCCCCGUAGUUUCCUGCCCGGAAACAAGGAGCCGGUAUCAGGCACACUUAAUUUAGCCCACGACGCCUUGCUCAGCCACGCCCUCAAGGGUACUCAGCAGUGAUAAACAUUGACACAUAAGUGAAAACUUGACUCAGUUAAAGCUAAUUAGGGCCGGUAAAACUCGUGCCAGCCACCGCGGUUAUACGGUAGGCCCAAGUUGUUAGAAGUCGGCGUAAAGGGUGGUUAAGAACAAAAUUAAAUUAAAGCCGAACAUCUUCCAAGCUGUUAUACGCAUUCGAAGAUAAGAAGCUCAAAUGCGAAAGUAGCUUUAUAUAUUCUGAAU
This 400-nucleotide ribosomal RNA is filed under the name Acanthopagrus berda. RNAcentral describes it as "12S ribosomal RNA". Lineage: Eukaryota; Metazoa; Chordata; Actinopteri; Spariformes; Sparidae. The record is from RNAcentral.